AUUGAACGCUGGCGGCAGGCCUAACACAUGCAAGUCGAGCGGGGUUUUCGGACCUAGCGGCGGACGGGUGAGUAAUGCGUAGGAAGCUACCCGAUAGAGGGGAUACCAGUUGGAAACGACUGUUAAUACCGCAUAAUGUCUACGGACCAAAGUGUGGGACCUUCGGGCCACAUGCUAUCGGAUGCGCCUACGUGGGAUUAGCUAGUUGGUGGGGUAAUGGCUCACCAAGGCGACGAUCCCUAGCUGGUUUGAGAGGAUGAUCAGCCACACUGGAACUGAGACACGGUCCAGACUCCUACGGGAGGCAGCAGUGGGGAAUAUUGGACAAUGGGCGAAAGCCUGAUCCAGCAAUGCCGCGUGAGUGAUGAAGGCCUUAGGGUUGUAAAGCUCUUUUGGCGGGGACGAUGAUGACGGUACCCGCAGAAUAAGCCCCCGGCUAACUUCGUGCCAGCAGCCGCGGUAAAGUGACUACUG
Molecule: ribosomal RNA, 474 nt
Filed under: uncultured bacterium
Lineage: Bacteria
Description: bacterial SSU rRNA
Rfam family: Bacterial small subunit ribosomal RNA
Source: RNAcentral